ACCACUCCCUUAUUUGUGAUGAAACACUGAGAGAACUUGUGCAGAGGCUGUAGAUAACUUCAUGAGCACAAGGCCAUUUUAUGUUCAGAAAAUGUCCGAACUUAUGAAUGUCCUCAUCUUCCAUCAGAGUCAGGAUGGGAUUCGGAGGCAUGUAAGUUGAACCAGUCAUUAUCCUUCAUUACAAAAACAUGUUUCCAGCCGCAGACUGUACUGGCUUCAGUGACUUUACUAGCACUGUCAGUUUGGAGCAUGUAGGUGCUGCCAAAGGACCUUUUGAGAACAGUUCUGUCUCGGUUGUUUGCUUAUCUGCUGCCAUGGAAACAGCUCAAUACCUUUUGCAUAUUUUUCUACAAGAUGAUCCUGGAAAGGCACCAUUUGGCAAGGCAGAGGGAAGGCACAUGCUAAGCUGUCGGUGGGUGUGGCCUAAGUAGUUAGUUGACAACCUAAUGUGACUGACCUAGUAUCUAUUGAGAGCAGAGAUGUGGCUUGUUCAGCCCUGGACAGUCUAGUAACUUUGAUAAGAAGAAGUGUAUUCUUGAGUUUGGCCUUGUGUGUGAGGACAAGAGUGGG
Molecule: long non-coding RNA, 570 nt
Filed under: Mus spicilegus (steppe mouse)
Lineage: Eukaryota; Metazoa; Chordata; Mammalia; Rodentia; Muridae
Description: lncRNA (ENSMSIG00000022694.1)
Source: RNAcentral